Pelobates cultripes (western spadefoot toad) is the source of this 235-nucleotide non-coding RNA. The record is from the annotation of a GenBank genome assembly. NCBI's taxonomy places the organism in Eukaryota, Metazoa, Chordata, Amphibia, Anura, Pelobatidae.
CUCACACACACACAGCACACUAACAGUACCCUCACAAACACAAACAGGACAUUAACAAACACACACACAGCACACUACCAGUACCCUCACACACAAACAGCACCCUCACAAGCGCACACACACACAAACAGCACCCUCACACACAGUACAUUAACAGCAUCCUCACAAGCACGCACACACAAACACCCUCACCCACAUAGCACACUACCAGCACCGUCACACACAUAUCACACUA